GAUGAACGCUGGCGGCGUGCCUAAUACAUGCAAGUCGAGCGAACAGAUGAGGAGCUUGCUCCUCUGACGUUAGCGGCGGACGGGUGAGUAACACGUGGAUAACCUACCUAUAAGACUGGGAUAACUUCGGGAAACCGGAGCUAAUACCGGAUAAUAUAUUGAACCGCAUGGUUCAAUAGUGAAAGACGGUUUUGCUGUCACUUAUAGAUGGAUCCGCGCCGCAUUAGCUAGUUGGUAAGGUAACGGCUUACCAAGGCAACGAUGGGUAGCCGACCUGAGAGGGUGAUCGGCCACCCUGGAACUGAGACACGGUCCAGACUCCUACGGGAGGCAGCAGUAGGGAAUCUUCCGCAAUGGGCGAAAGCCUGACGGAGCAACGCCGCGUGAGUGAUGAAGGUCUUCGGAUCGUAAAACUCUGUUAUUAGGGAAGAACAAAUGUGUAAGUAACUAUGCACGUCUUGACGGUACCUAAUCAGAAAGCCACGGCUAACUACGUG
Molecule: ribosomal RNA, 497 nt
Filed under: uncultured bacterium
Lineage: Bacteria
Description: partial 16S ribosomal RNA
Rfam family: Bacterial small subunit ribosomal RNA
Source: RNAcentral